This 907-nucleotide ribosomal RNA is filed under the name Enterococcus durans. Its description in RNAcentral is "bacterial SSU rRNA". It matches the Rfam family "Bacterial small subunit ribosomal RNA", at positions 57 to 935 of the family's 1533-position model. Lineage: Bacteria; Bacillati; Bacillota; Bacilli; Lactobacillales; Enterococcaceae. The record is from RNAcentral.
GCAGUCGUACGCUUCUUUUUCCACCGGAGCUUGCUCCACCGGAAAAAGAAGAGUGGCGAACGGGUGAGUAACACGUGGGUAACCUGCCCAUCAGAAGGGGAUAACACUUGGAAACAGGUGCUAAUACCGUAUAACAAUCGAAACCGCAUGGUUUUGAUUUGAAAGGCGCUUUCGGGUGUCGCUGAUGGAUGGACCCGCGGUGCAUUAGCUAGUUGGUGAGGUAACGGCUCACCAAGGCCACGAUGCAUAGCCGACCUGAGAGGGUGAUCGGCCACAUUGGGACUGAGACACGGCCCAAACUCCUACGGGAGGCAGCAGUAGGGAAUCUUCGGCAAUGGACGAAAGUCUGACCGAGCAACGCCGCGUGAGUGAAGAAGGUUUUCGGAUCGUAAAACUCUGUUGUUAGAGAAGAACAAGGAUGAGAGUAACUGUUCAUCCCUUGACGGUAUCUAACCAGAAAGCCACGGCUAACUACGUGCCAGCAGCCGCGGUAAUACGUAGGUGGCAAGCGUUGUCCGGAUUUAUUGGGCGUAAAGCGAGCGCAGGCGGUUUCUUAAGUCUGAUGUGAAAGCCCCCGGCUCAACCGGGGAGGGUCAUUGGAAACUGGGAGACUUGAGUGCAGAAGAGGAGAGUGGAAUUCCAUGUGUAGCGGUGAAAUGCGUAGAUAUAUGGAGGAACACCAGUGGCGAACGCGGCUCUCUGGUCUGUAACUGACGCUGAGGCUCGAAAGCGUGGGGAGCAAACAGGAUUAGAUACCCUGGUAGUCCACGCCGUAAACGAUGAGUGCUAAGUGUUGGAGGGUUUCCGCCCUUCAGUGCUGCAGCUAACGCAUUAAGCACUCCGCCUGGGGAGUACGACCGCAAGGUUGAAACUCAAAGGAAUUGACGGGGGCCCGCACAAGCGGUGG